CCCACCCUUUCUGUAUGACAUCAUAGUGGAGGAAACCUUUCUCAGGGCUGCCCAUCAGUGCCCAGGCCUGACUCUCUUUCCCUUAAAAGGUGACAGUGGCUUUUUGCAGAGCCUCUUCUCCAUAGCAAUGCCAACGUGUGGUCUUGGGCCUGCACCAGCCAUUGGGUGGGGAAGAGCUUCCCAUGGAAGUUAGGGCUUGGUCUUGGGAUGCUCAGAAGUGUUGCAGCAGAGAGGAGCAGCUCUGUGCUAUAGCCAAGUGUUACAACUCAGUGUGGUGGCUCUGAAACACUGCUCUGAGGCUCAGCUGAGCUUUAUUGCUCAGUGUGGCAUCUCUGGGUCACGGAUCUCAUUCUUUGAAGACUUGAGAAUCUGAUGGUCAGUAGAAGAGGUGGAGAUAAGCCUUUUAUUAUGCCAGUGAGCCCCAGUGGGCUCAGAGGAGUCUGAGCACUCUACCAGAAAUGAGAGCCUCCUUAUAUAGGGAGCCACAGGCACUGCUCUAUCAGAAGUAGUGGUCCAGCCCUGGCAACUGGAGCUCUUCCUCCUCCACCCUGAAACCCAGAGUCUUCCUCCCCUUGGCUGCACUGCUUCCAAGCAAAAUCAAGACCAGGUUGGGUGGAGGCAGGAGAGCACAUCUGAAGGCGAUUUCUUCCACAGUGUUGCCAUUUGCUCUGAACUCGAAAAAAAGAAGAAGAAAACAACUGCCAGGGAGCCCAGCAAAGAAAGAAGAAAACCGAGGUCUGCCCACACCCUACGGAGGUCCCGAGUUGCGUGGAACAUGCCUAAUCAGCCCGCUGCAGACAGGCAGGUCUGUGAACGCCCUACCGAGGUCCUGAGUCGUGUGGAAGACACCGAAUCACCCUGCUGCAGACAGGCAGCCACCUAGUUCCACACUAGAAAGACGCAGAGGACACCAGACCACCAGACCACAGUACUGAGUCCUGCUGCUCCUGGCCCAGAGAAAUAGAACUUCAGAGACAGAAGGGAUCUUAGAGAGUAAAUUCUUGCAGUGAUAGAAAGCUGAUUAGCACAUGGAGUAUGGUUCUACUGUUACUUGUUCUGAAGACAGAGGGAAAUGCCAUCAUCAUUGUGUGAAGGAAGCCUGGAACUCUCAUCCCUUUGCUGCCAAGUAAAUGUUAAUAGAAGUGAAAAGGACUGUAUAUCAAGAUAGUCACAGGAGCAAAGCUGCCACAAGUUUUUCAUACAGUUUUUCUUUAGAGUACUUUUCACUGGCUUCCAGUAACCUGAUCAAUCCAACAACCAGAGAAUUCAAUUUUCUUUGUCAAAAUUGAAUUGAAUUAGAUGUCAUUAUUCCCUGAGAGUAACCCAGACAUUCAUUGAAAAUUUCAACAGAGAUUUUCACAGAAAGAGUUUCAGCAAAGUCUAUGUGACUGUGAAUAGGAGAACAGAUGAAGAAACAAGGAGUCAUGCCUGUCUCAAAGGAGUGAUUUCACAAGGCAGUAAGAAAUGACCACAGGUUAUAGCUUGUGUUACUACACACUGAUGAUGCCUUUGAGGCUAUCCACUGAUGUCCUCACCCACGGCACAAUCUUUCUGAAGGUAUCGUUGGUUGUUUAUAAUGUUGGCAUAGUCUAGAAUUCAGAACUUUAAAUAAAAGUUCUAUUUUUUAGACUUCACAAAAAAAUUGAUCAGAGAGUACAAAAGUAUGUCUUCUGUCUUCUGUGCAGAUAGUCUUCCCACUGUGAUAUACAAAUACAGCAUCCAAGCGGCAAAUUAUUUUACAAUCAGUUAACCCACAAUGACAAAUCAUUAUCGUCCAAAGUCCAUAGUUUACAUUAGAAUUCACUCUUGGCAUUGCACAUUCAAUUUAUUAUUGUAAUAAAAUACAUAACAUAAAAUUUACUACUUGUCAGUUUUUAACCAUGUAGCCCAUUAGUACUAUGUUUACCUUGUAAAAUAGAUAUCCAGGACUUUUUCAUGUUGCACAGCACCUUUUUCCUUUACCCCAAUCCCUGAUAGCUAAUUGAUACUUUUU
Long non-coding RNA from Heterocephalus glaber (naked mole-rat), 1993 nucleotides. The record is from Ensembl. Lineage: Eukaryota; Metazoa; Chordata; Mammalia; Rodentia; Bathyergidae.